UUCGUUGUUCUUAUUCAGUCCUUGGCUUGCAAGUCUGGAUCUCCUUCCGAUCUUGGAGAUUUUAAUAUGCUCCGAGCCUCCGAGCCACUCGCGCUUUGGUCUUCGCUCGAGCAGUAUGCUCUGACGUUUGAUGUCGUAGCUACCCACUUGGCGUUGCAAGAUGAGGUGAUCCAGGCCUAGGGGAUCCUUCUCCGGCCAUGCUCCCUCCAGGAGCCUCAACUGUGCUCUGAAAGAGAUCACAG
This 242-nucleotide long non-coding RNA is filed under the name Setaria italica (foxtail millet). RNAcentral's name for it is "long non-coding RNA (SITA_LNC003920)". Lineage: Eukaryota; Viridiplantae; Streptophyta; Magnoliopsida; Poales; Poaceae. The record is from RNAcentral.